GAUGAACGCUGGCGGCGUGCCUAAUACAUGCGAGUCGAGCGAACAGACGAGGAGCUUGCUCCUCUGACGUUAGCGGCGGACGGGUGAGUAACACGUGGAUAACCUACCUAUAAGACUGGGAUAACUUCGGGAAACCGGAGCUAAUACCGGAUAAUAUAUUGAACCGCAUGGUUCAAUAGUGAAAGACGGUUUUGCUGUCACUUAUAGAUGGACCCGCGCCGCAUUAGCUAGUUGGUAAGGUAACGGCUUACCAAGGCAACGAUGCGUAGCCGACCUGAGAGGGUGAUCCGCCACACUGGAUCUGAGACACGUUCCAGACUCCUACGGGGGGCAGCAGUAGGGAAUCUUCCGCAAUGGGCGAAAGCCUGACGGAGCAACGCCGCGUGAGUGAUGAAGGUCUUCGGAUCGUAAAACUCUGUUAUUAGGAAAGAACAAAUGUGUAAGUAACUAUGCACGUCUUGACGGUACCUAAUCAGAAAGCCACGGCUAACUACGUG
RNAcentral lists this ribosomal RNA (497 nucleotides) under uncultured bacterium. RNAcentral's name for it is "partial 16S ribosomal RNA". It matches the Rfam family "Bacterial small subunit ribosomal RNA", at positions 28 to 507 of the family's 1533-position model. The record is from RNAcentral.